RNAcentral lists this non-coding RNA (21 nucleotides) under Caenorhabditis elegans. The record is from RNAcentral. Lineage: Eukaryota; Metazoa; Nematoda; Chromadorea; Rhabditida; Rhabditidae.
UGGGUUUUUUAUUGUGGAACU